Molecule: ribosomal RNA, 457 nt
Filed under: Ordospora colligata
Lineage: Eukaryota; Fungi; Microsporidia; Ordosporidae
Description: LSU rRNA
Rfam family: Archaeal large subunit ribosomal RNA
Source: RNAcentral
UGACAUGACACACGGGAUUGCUUGGCAUCUAUGGCGAGGAAGGACGUAAGAGAAGACGAGAAGCAUGAGGUGUCUGAAUGACACGGAGACGUGAGGAGACCCCCUUGACUUAAGCAUAUCAGUAAGGGGAGGAGAAGAAACCAAAUGGGAUGUCCUGAGUAGCGGCGAGUGAAGUGGACGAAGUCUAUGUGGUAACUGCGCAAGCAGGUUGUGUAGUAACGCUUUUAGCAGCAGAAAUCAAUAGGAAAGUUGAUGGCGGAGAGGGGGAAUGACCUGUAUGCAUGCUUAGUGAUUAAUGAAGAGUAGGGCUGCUUGGGAGUGCAGUCUGAAAAGGGUGGUGGUUUCCAUCGAAGACUAAAUAUGGUAGAUGACCGAUAGAGAAGAAGUAGGGAGACCGAAAGCAGAAGAAAGGAAGGAUGAAGAAUGAAAGUGUGUGAAUGUAUGGGAGUGAUUGCCA